Molecule: ribosomal RNA, 484 nt
Filed under: uncultured bacterium
Lineage: Bacteria
Description: partial 16S ribosomal RNA
Rfam family: Bacterial small subunit ribosomal RNA
Source: RNAcentral
AUUGAACGCUGGCGGCAGGCCUAACACAUGCAAGUCGAGCGGAUGAAGGGAGCUUGCUCCUGGAUUCAGCGGCGGACGGGUGAGUAAUGCCUAGGAAUCUCCCUGGUAGUGGGUUAUAACGUCCGGAAACGGGCGCUAAUACCGCAUACGUCCUGAUGGAGAAAGUGGGGGAUCUUCGGACCUCACGCUAUCAGAUGAGCCUAGGUCGGAUUAGCUAGUUGGUGGGGUAAAGGCCUACCAAGGCGACGAUCCGUAACUGGUCUGAGAGGAUGAUCAGUCACACUGGAACUGAGACACGGUCCAGACUCCUACGGGAGGCAGCAGUGGGGAAUAUUGGACAAUGGGCGAAAGCCUGAUCCAGCCAUGCCGCGUGUGUGAAGAAGGUCUUCGGAUUGUAAAGCACUUUAAGUUGGGAGGAAGGGCAGUAAGUUAAUACCUUGCUGUUUUGACGUUACCAACAGAAUAAGCACCGGCUAACUUCGUG